RNAcentral lists this ribosomal RNA (301 nucleotides) under uncultured bacterium. RNAcentral's name for it is "partial 16S ribosomal RNA". It matches the Rfam family "Bacterial small subunit ribosomal RNA", at positions 509 to 807 of the family's 1533-position model. The record is from RNAcentral.
CAGCAGCCGCGGGAAUACGUAGGGGGCUAGCGUUGUCCGGAAUCAUUGGGCGUAAAGAGCGUGUAGGCGGCUUGGUAAGUCCGCUGUGAAAGUCCAGGGCUCAACCCUGGAAAGCCAGUGGAAACUGUCAAGCUAGAGUCCGGAAGAGGCGAGUGGAAUUCCUGGUGUAGCGGUGAAAUGCGCAGAUAUCAGGAGGAACACCAAUGGCGAAGGCAGCUCGCUGGGACGGUACUGACGCUGAGACGCGAAAGCGUGGGGAGCAAACAGGAUUAGAUACCCGGGUAGUCCCUGUCUCUUAUAC